UUUUAGUUUCAAACAGUGAACUUUAUUUUAACCAGUGCAGUAGUGACGACAGUAGAACCGAUGCUUAACGGGUUAGGAAGAAAGGGAAUACCUUUACCAAUUUCUGAUCACAUACAUCUGCAAAACACGACUGUUGACUUAAUAGAGAACGCCAUUGUCAUAGGAAGUGAUGGCAGAUACAAUAAAACAGUGGAUUAAAUCAUUCCAUGGAUAGAUUGAAAAAAAAA
Saccostrea cuccullata (small rock oyster) is the source of this 227-nucleotide long non-coding RNA. RefSeq lists it as uncharacterized. Lineage: Eukaryota; Metazoa; Mollusca; Bivalvia; Ostreida; Ostreidae. The record is from RefSeq and is a predicted model, not a curated record. The transcript has 3 exons.